Molecule: non-coding RNA, 24 nt
Filed under: Arabidopsis thaliana (thale cress)
Lineage: Eukaryota; Viridiplantae; Streptophyta; Magnoliopsida; Brassicales; Brassicaceae
Source: RNAcentral
GAAGGUCAUAGAGAUUGUAACCUA